RNAcentral lists this ribosomal RNA (206 nucleotides) under uncultured bacterium. Its description in RNAcentral is "partial 16S ribosomal RNA". It matches the Rfam family "Bacterial small subunit ribosomal RNA", at positions 568 to 774 of the family's 1533-position model. The record is from RNAcentral.
UGCGUAGGCGGUUAGUUAAGUCUGUUGUGAAAUCCCCGGGCUCAACCUGGGAAUGGCAAUGGAUACUGGCUAGCUAGAGUGUGUCAGAGGAUGGUGGAAUUUCCGGUGUAGCGGUGAAAUGCGUAGAGAUCGGAAGGAACAUCAGUGGCGAAGGCGGCCAUCUGGGACAACACUGACGCUGAAGCACGAAAGCGUGGGAGCAAACA